This 495-nucleotide ribosomal RNA is filed under the name uncultured bacterium. RNAcentral describes it as "partial 16S ribosomal RNA". It matches the Rfam family "Bacterial small subunit ribosomal RNA", at positions 28 to 507 of the family's 1533-position model. The record is from RNAcentral.
GACGAACGCUGGCGGCGUGCCUAAUACAUGCAAGUAGAACGCUGAAGGAGGAGCUUGCUCUUCUGGAUGAGUUGCGAACGGGUGAGUAACGCGUAGGUAACCUGCCUGGUAGCGGGGGAUAACUAUUGGAAACGAUAGCUAAUACCGCAUAACAGUAGAUGUUGCAUGACAUUUACUUAAAAGGUGCAAUUGCAUCACUACCAGAUGGACCUGCGUUGUAUUAGCUAGUUGGUGGGGUAACGGCUCACCAAGGCGACGAUACAUAGCCGACCUGAGAGGGUGAUCGGCCACACUGGGACUGAGACACGGCCCAGACCCCUACGGGAGGCAGCAGUAGGGAAUCUUCGGCAGUGGACGGAAGUCUGACCGAGCAACGCCGCGUGAGUGAAGAAGGUUUUCGGAUCGUAAAGCUCUGUUGUAAGAGAAGAACGAGUGUGAGAGUGGAAAGUUCACACUGUGACGGUAUCUUACCAGAAAGGGACGGCUAACUACGUG